This 71-nucleotide transfer RNA is filed under the name Papilio xuthus (Asian swallowtail). It matches the Rfam family "tRNA". From Rfam's summary of the family: Transfer RNA (tRNA) molecules are approximately 80 nucleotides in length. Their secondary structure includes four short double-helical elements and three loops (D, anti-codon, and T loops). Lineage: Eukaryota; Metazoa; Arthropoda; Insecta; Lepidoptera; Papilionidae. The record is from Rfam by way of RNAcentral.
GCGUCGGUGGCUCAGCGGUUUAAGCAUUUGACUUGUAAUCUACAGAUCUUGGGUUCAAAUCCCACCACGUA